UAGAAAUAUAAGUGUCAUAAUUUGUGCAUGUACUUUUAUUGGAUAACGUAAUAAAAUUUCGUGGAUAGAUAUUUAAUAAGCUAUUUACAAAAUUGUUUCUAAGUGAUGCCAUGAUGCCGCUUUCAGCAAAUUUUAGACGUGAAAUGCUAUCAGCAAUAAAGAAUGCAAAGAAAAAUAAAGAAAGAAAAGAAUCUGACGAACGCACUGAGGAGGAACAGUUAAAUAGUAACAAUGGAAGUGUAUUCAGAAAUCCUUCGAUACUCUCGAAAACAAUUAACUCAACGCAACCACUCAAAAUAGAUGAACGACAGUCCAAUACAAAAGAAUUCACAGAGGCAGAAACAUCGAAGAAAUAGAAUAAUUUUCGUAUUGUAAAUUGAAAAAGUUUGUCAUUAAAACAAAUAAACAAUCUUACUGCUCGUUUUUAAAGGCGGAA
This is a long non-coding RNA of Leptidea sinapis, 436 nucleotides long. RefSeq lists it as uncharacterized. NCBI's taxonomy places the organism in Eukaryota, Metazoa, Arthropoda, Insecta, Lepidoptera, Pieridae. The transcript has 2 exons. The record is from RefSeq and is a predicted model, not a curated record.